UCAGUCGACUCCUACGGGGAGGCAGCAGUGGGGGAAUAUUGCACAAUGGGCGCAAGCCUGAUGCAGCCAUGCCGCGUGUGUGAAGAAGGCCUUCGGGUUGUAAAGCACUUUCAGUCGUGAGGAAGGUAGUGUAGUUAAUAGCUGCAUUAUUUGACGUUAGCGACAGAAGAAGCACCGGCUAACUCCGUGCCAGCAGCCGCGGUAAUACGGAGGGUGCGAGCGUUAAUCGGAAUUACUGGGCGUAAAGCGCAUGCAGGUGGUUUGUUAAGUCAGAUGUGAAAGACCCGGGGCUCAACCUCGGAAUUGCAUUUGAAACUGGCAGACUAGAGUACUGUAGAGGGGGGUAGGAAUUUCAGGUGUAGCGGUGAAAUGCGUAGAGAUCUGAAGGAAUACCGGUGGCGAAGGCGGCCCCCUGGACAGAUACUGACACUCAGAUGCGAAAGCGUGGGGAGCAAACAGGAUUAGAUACCCUGGUAG
This 477-nucleotide ribosomal RNA is filed under the name uncultured bacterium. RNAcentral describes it as "bacterial SSU rRNA". It matches the Rfam family "Bacterial small subunit ribosomal RNA", at positions 328 to 793 of the family's 1533-position model. The record is from RNAcentral.